UACAGAGGUCCCGAGCGUUGUUCGAUUCAUUGGGCGUAAAGGGUGCGUAGGCGGCGGGGAAAGUCUGAUGUGAAAUCCUGGGGCUCAACCCUGGAACUGCAUUGGAUACUUCCUUGCUAGAGUACUGGAGAGGAAACUGGAAUUUACGGUGUAGCAGUGAAAUGCGUAGAGAUCGUAAGGAAGACCAGUGGCGAAGGCGAGUUUCUGGACAGUUACUGACGCUGAGGCACGAAGGCCAGGGGAGCAAACGGG
Molecule: ribosomal RNA, 252 nt
Filed under: uncultured bacterium
Lineage: Bacteria
Description: partial 16S ribosomal RNA
Rfam family: Bacterial small subunit ribosomal RNA
Source: RNAcentral